GCCGCGGCGAUAGCUCAGUAAGGUGAAAGCGCCAGUUGAGAAGAUGGCGAUUUCCGAGAGCUAUUAUCCGUGCGGGUUCGAAUCCCGCCUGUGGCA
RNAcentral lists this transfer RNA (96 nucleotides) under Aromia moschata. RNAcentral describes it as "tRNA-OTHER". It matches the Rfam family "tRNA". Rfam says of the family: Transfer RNA (tRNA) molecules are approximately 80 nucleotides in length. Their secondary structure includes four short double-helical elements and three loops (D, anti-codon, and T loops). The record is from RNAcentral. Lineage: Eukaryota; Metazoa; Arthropoda; Insecta; Coleoptera; Cerambycidae.